UUAAAAUCAACAUCUUUCCACAAUCUACAUAAGAUAAAACCAUAUUAUACAUUACCCAAAUAGUCCCCAAAGUCUCAACUAUUUGGUGUUAAAAAAUUCCAUAUAUCAACUUACACAACACAAGACACAAUAAAAGUGAGCAAAUUCAUCAAAAACUAUAUAAAGGCCACAGUGAUCAACACUUGAGCAUUCAGCAUUGAAAAGUCAAACUUUCUUCCCAUGUUCCCUUCAAUUCAUACUAAAAAUCUUGUGCACAAAGUUACAGAAUGGAGCAUGAUUUUUGACCCCUUGGCUUCUUUUUCUUCUUUUGCUUUUGUGGCUGAAGAACCACUUUAAUGGCUGCAUCAAAAACCACUUUCACGUAUUGCAAUAACCAGAUGCAUGCAAAAAGGCAAAAUUGCAUCCAAAUAGUUUAGAUAAAAAUAUUUAUUCCUAACGUAUAUAUGGUGAUUUAAACCACUUCCGUUAAGUCCUACAAAUUAAUGAGCACGGUGGGAAAAUUUUGGAAAGAUCUGGAUGUAAAAAUGGAAUAAAUACAAUCUGAAUGUAUAAACCCACCACAUCUCCAAUUUAUUGAUUAAGAGUUGUUUUAUCUAUUAAGUAGAAAUGAAACAGCUACAUAUAUCUGAAUAUAUAACGUUUUAUAUACAUUAAGUCCAUUAAGACAAAAAGAAACACCACCUCAUUAGUCGUAUAAUAACACAAGCUCAAGACCCUAACUUUAUUCCAAUAAAUGAUUACAAGAGGUUAAGAUUUAUUACCUUGUGCUUCAAGAACUGGAUAGUCCUCUUCAGAAAUUGCAGCCCCAAUAUCCCUUUUUAAGUCUAGCUAGAAUAAGAACUUACCUGAAAAGAAAAUAUGGUUAGCCAAAUAUGUGGUAUCAGGGCCUUCAUUUUCUUACCACCUAAAUGUCCAAUUUACCCCCUUAGCAAUUAUUCUUGAUAUCUAUAUUGCUACUAUUUUUCUUGUCUACUUAUUUAAAUUAUGGUCUAAUUACCAUAGCAUAAAAAUUGAAAUGCACUAUAAUUGUUAAAUAUGUUUAACAUUAUAAUAUAUAAAUUAAUUAUUUUAUAGAAUGUAUUUUGAACUACAUUGUACUCUAUGCAACGAUUAUGUAACCUUGCAAUACAUUAAAAAAAAUUUACAAGUCUUUUUACCUAAAAAAAAUUAUGCAAGGUUAUUAAGGCAUUUUUCUUUGAAAAAUCUAUCCAACUAUAGCACUGUACUUCUAAUGUUAUCUUAUUAAGGCAUUGCAUUUUCAAAAAUACUACUCAAUUAUGGCAUUAUACUUUGAUUUUUUUUCUUAUUAAGGACUACUUUGAAAAUUCAACCCAGUUCUAGCAUUGUACUUUGAUCUUUUUGCUAAUAAGGCGUUUUACUUUAAAAGUUAUACCCAAUUAUAGCCUUGUGCUUUUGAUGUUUUCUUAUCAAGCCAUUGGUUUAAAAAAAUCUACUCAAUAUAGCAUUCUACUUUCAAUGUUUUCUUACUAAGGCAUCAUAAUGGUAUACUCUACAUCUAGAACAACAGAACUAGGGCACAAACUAAGGCUCUCCGAAAGGAAAUGAGUUUCCCAAACAAUCAAAAGCUAAUUUUUAACCAACCUCACCCCUAUUUAUACUGUUGCAACAGAUAAAGGACAGAAAAUGACAGAAAUACCCUUAGGCCUGUUAACACUUAUUCUAUAUUCAGUAAAUACUCUUAAACAAGUCAUCACUAAAUCUUUGACCUUCUUGUGUAAGGAAACUUCCAACCUCAGGGGAGGUUUACCACCCAGUUUGAAGAUCAAUUGGUUAUAGUAUUGCACUUGGAAAAUUUCUUUUUAAGGCAUUGUACUUUGAAAAUCUAAUACAACUAUAGCAUUUUUAUUUCCAAUUUUUCUUAUUUAAGCUAGUAUAUAAAUAAAUGCAAAUUUUUAUUUCUAGAAUUUAACCUAGUAUAUAGACCAACCAUCUAUUUUUGAUAAGAACAACUCACCUUGAACCAAUUAAGGGCUUCCCUUCAGAUAUUUAUUGCCAAAAUCCAAAAGUUGCCAUCCAUGACUUAGCGCGUUACUCCAACUCCCCACCUGAUAACGUUUUUUUUCCUUCCAAUUUCCAAAUGUUCUAUAAACGAAUUAAAAUAAAAAGAUUGUUAUUUAACACAGUUGAGGCUUUAGUGCAACAGAUAAAAUGAAUAUAUAUAUAUAUAUACACACACAACAAUGUACUUACAUUCGGAAAUCCAUGUGUGGGGAAAAAUCUGUACAGAAGGUGAUCUAAAGAUUUAUAAUCAAAAGGUUAUACAUGGUGUUGUAGAAUGCAAACUCUCUAAAAAAUGCCUGCAAGUGUGACUCAAAAUAGGACGUUUUAAUUGAAAGGUUUAUUUAUUAAAAGAUUUAGUUUCUAAAGUUUACUCAGGUAUAACAGAGAGCACAGAAAACAUCACAAAGAACAUUAAUAAAUCGAAGGUUUACUCAGGCAUAACAGACCAAACCUGAUUCACAAAUGGUCUGUGCAAAAUCUAGAAAUGAUCAUGUAAUGAAUAUAUGAUGUCUAUUUGUUAAACAGAUUAUUAGAUGUUAAAUUCAUAUCCAAAUUUACAUGCAACGAACAAUAAUGAGGAUCUAUAUUUGUGGUCCCAUCAAGAAAGCAUAACUUAAUAACUUACUUUGCAAACAACACAGUAAAACAUCUACAGGGUAAUAAAAAUAAAAACUGUUAGCCUUAUGGGUAUUAAGUAUAGGACAGCAUCAAAAUAAUUAGUCAACUAACUGUAGUUAAUAGCCUUUUCCAUGUGGUUAAUUAUUGUAUUAUUAGCAAAGGUACACGUGACAACUUGUUGUAUUUGGACAUAGAUCAUAUUAUUAAGUGAAAUAUAACCAAAUACCAUAGACAUGCUAAAGAUAAAUUUUUAGGAAUUAGAAUUUACUAUCAGAAAAGAGGGGCAUGGUAUCUUACUUGUACUCUGCACAAAUUGCACAAUUUCACGAGUGUUUUUUAUUGGUUAGACUUCCUUUGAUGUGUCAUGUGUCAGAGUAGUAGGUUUUACCAUACAAGGAGGAAUUGCCAGACCAAUCAUCAUGUCCCUUGAGACUCCCUUGAA
Molecule: long non-coding RNA, 3082 nt
Filed under: Lactuca sativa (garden lettuce)
Lineage: Eukaryota; Viridiplantae; Streptophyta; Magnoliopsida; Asterales; Asteraceae
Description: long non-coding RNA (LSAT_LNC008580)
Source: RNAcentral